GACAGAGGGGGCAAGCGUUGCUCGGAAUCACUGGGCGUAAAGGGCGCGUAGGCGGGUUCGCAAGUCGGUCGUGAAAGCCCCGGGCUCAACCCGGGAGAGUCGGCCGAGACUGCGGGUCUUGAGGGGGGCAGAGGAGACUGGAAUUCCCGGUGUAGCGGUGAAAUGUGUAGAGAUCGGGAGGAACACCGGUGGCGAAGGCGGGUCUCUGGGCCUUCCCUGACGCUGAGGCGCGAAGGCGUGGGGAGCAAACGGGAUUAGAUACCCCGGUAGUCCACGCGGUAAACGAUGACGACUAGGUGUGGGGGGGUUAGACCCUUCCGUGCCGCAGCUAACGCAUUAAGUCGUCCGCCUGGGGAGUACGGCCGCAAGGUUGAAACUUAAAUGAAUUGACGG
RNAcentral lists this ribosomal RNA (393 nucleotides) under uncultured bacterium. RNAcentral describes it as "bacterial SSU rRNA". It matches the Rfam family "Bacterial small subunit ribosomal RNA", at positions 524 to 916 of the family's 1533-position model. The record is from RNAcentral.